RNAcentral lists this unclassified non-coding RNA (358 nucleotides) under soil metagenome. Its description in RNAcentral is "partial contains 5.8S ribosomal RNA, internal transcribed spacer 2, and large subunit ribosomal RNA". The stretch from base 1 to 120 matches the Rfam family "5.8S ribosomal RNA", at positions 35 to 154 of the family's 154-position model. The record is from RNAcentral.
GAUGAAGAACGUAGCGAAAUGCGAUAAGUAAUGUGAAUUGCAGUAUUCAGUGAAUCAUCGAAUCUUUGAACGCACAUUGCGCCCGUCAGUAUUCUGGCGGGCAUGCCUGUUCGAGCGUCAUUACGCCCCUCAAGUCCCCUGUGGACUUGGUGUUGGGGAUCGGCGAGGCUGGUUUUCCAGCACAGCCGUCCCUUAAAUUAAUUGGCGGUCUCGCCGUGGCCCUCCUCUGCGCAGUAGUAAAACACUCGCAACAGGAGCCCGGCGCGGUCCACUGCCGUAAAACCCCCCAACUUUUUAUAGUUGACCUCGAAUCAGGUAGGACUACCCGCUGAACUUAAGCAUAUCAAUAAGCGGAGGA